This 253-nucleotide ribosomal RNA is filed under the name uncultured bacterium. RNAcentral describes it as "partial 16S ribosomal RNA". It matches the Rfam family "Bacterial small subunit ribosomal RNA", at positions 524 to 776 of the family's 1533-position model. The record is from RNAcentral.
UACAGAGGUCCCGAGCGUUGUUCGGAUUCAUUGGGCGUAAAGGGUGCGUAGGUGGCGCCGUAAGUGGGGUGUGAAAUCCCGGGGCUUAACCCCGGGACUGCAUUCCAUACUGCGGUGCUUGAGGACUUGGAGAGGAGACUGGAAUUUACGGUGUAGCAGUGAAAUGCGUAGAGAUCGUAAGGAAGACCAGUGGCGAAGGCGGGUCUCUGGACAGUUCCUGACACUGAGGCACGAAGGCCAGGGAGCAAACGGG